This is a long non-coding RNA of Canis lupus familiaris (dog), 498 nucleotides long. RefSeq lists it as uncharacterized. The record is from RefSeq and is a predicted model, not a curated record. Lineage: Eukaryota; Metazoa; Chordata; Mammalia; Carnivora; Canidae. The transcript is spliced from 2 exons.
UCUACAUUGCUGAUUUGUUCUUCUGCAUCUUCCAAUCUGCUAUUGAUUCCCUCUAUAGUAUUUUUUAUUUUAGUUAUUGAAUGCCUCAUCUCUGAUUGGUUCUUUUUUAUAUUUUAUAUCUUUGUGAAAGCUUUUACUGUGUUCGUCCACUAUUCUCAAGUCCAGCAAUAAGGAGGUCAGCUGCAUCUCCUGGUCUUCAAUAUAGUGGCCUUGUGUAGAAGAGGUCCUGUGUUGCCCUGUAGUGCAGUGCCCCCCUGGUGACCAGAACCAGAUGAUCCAGAGUUGUCUUCUGUGUGGCUGCAUGUGCCCUACUGUUGUCACUAGGUUGCUCUUGUCUUCUGCCCAUCCAGCUGCAAUGCAUUGGGUGCAGACAUACCUAGUGUCAGGGCUUGCUCCCUGUGCAGCCCCCUACGAAGCUUGGAUGCAGGAAUUACGAGUGUGCUGGUGUAUGCGGUUCUCUUCCCUUCUCCCUAAAACAGGAAUCAUUUUAGAAUGGCA